CCUUAAAAAUGCCUUUAUCAUAUCGAGAACAGAGCCAAAUAUCCAUCUGAAUUAAUCUGAAAGGGCAAACUUGGGAGUAGCCCGUCUGACAAAAUAGAAACUUCUUUAGCCGUGAAGCCUCUUGAAGGAAUCACUCAUCAAGUUGGGAGAGCGCAGACAAAUAUCCGGGGAUCGGAGAUUAGUCCAAUAUGAGGUAGUGACAUGUAACUCUUCUAACUGCCGUGUUUCUCUGAGCAAGUGAUGUAUAACAUCCUUGUGCACCAUGUUGCACUCAAUACUUAAGACCUUCAAACUUGUAGCAUAUGCAAGAAUAUUCUCAACACAAUCCAUACCAAACGGGCACAGCAUAUUCAGCUCGCUGAGGUUCUUGCAGUGCUGACUAAUUGCCUUCAUGAAUUUAAUAGAAAAACUACCUAUAAUUGUCACAUCCCGACCCUUAUAUUUUUACCUUAUUUACUAGCUUAAUUAUAAUAAGAAUUUUACCGUCCCCAUCAUUAAGUUAAUAGUUUAAUUGGUCUCUAGAGGUAUUUUAAGGGACGAUUAAUUUCGGGGAAUUGUUCGUGGGAGAAAAUAUGACGACGGUAAAAAUGGUAAAUUUUUAUUCGGGUAUUAUUUUUCGGGGUGUUUUAUUUCGGAUUUGGGUGGUAUAAGAAGGUUGGACCGGGCCAAAGGGUGGUCAAGCCUAGCCCUCUUUUCUCUCUCUCUCCCUCCCGGUUUUCCCGCACCCGAACUCCCUCCCGCAGCCGAUCUUUCUGUCGCCGGCCAGCCGCCGUCCGGCCACCAACCGCCGCCGCACCGGUCCCGUUCGGUUGGCCAUCAACCCAGCAACCUUCUUGGACCGGUGACAGCUCCCCUAGCGUCGCCGUGAGGAAGAUAUCGGGCCCGAGAGGUCCGACUGUGUUAGGUUUCACGUCGCCGGAACUCCCUCCUCCGGCCACCAAUCCGGGCAAGCUUGGUACGGUUUUGUAGCCCUCCAACCCAGCAGCCUUGCCCUAAAAGGACUCACUCCCUCUUGAGCUAGGUAAGGAGAAAUUUGAGGUGGAAGUUUUAUGGCGUUUUUGAUGUUUUUAGUCGAUUACCCUAGUUAGGCUUGGAAUUAGUGUUUGUGCUAGUUAGGAAAGUUGUAGAGCAUGAUGAGAGGAUUAUUCUGUCAAAAUUUCAUAGGUUUUUGAGGUCGCCGGAAUUGGCCUCCGGCCGCCGCUGCCGGCGGAGCCGCCGCGGUUUGGGAGAUUUUUAGGGUUUUAAAUGUGGAAUAUUAAGGGGAUUAUAUUGAUGUGAUUUAUGGAAUUUUUGGAUGAGAUUUGAAUAGGUUUGUGAAUUUCCGAAGUUUGGUAUUUUUGGCGGUUAAUUAAUGUAGAAUCUGGCCGUAGGAUUUAAGUCGUAUUUUGGGGAGGUUGUAGUUACGACUGUCGAGUAUGAUAUUUUAGUUCGGAUCGUUUCGAUUUAAGAAUAUCGAAGUUAGGUAAUGAUGAGCGUAUUUAUGGCUCUCGGGUAAUUUUGCCUAUUUUGAUUAAAUAUUGGAUUAUUAGUUGGGAAAUUAAUAUUAUAUUUGGAACAGGACGUGAGGAGGCUCGAGCAGACGAGGCCCCAGAUCGACAUCAGGCUUAGGCCUAAUUUGUGAGUGGACUUUUGUUUUAAAUAAAAUGCAUGCUAGAGUUCUUGAUUGAACAAUAUUUGUUGCGGAAUAUUUUGACGUCAUUUUAAUUUGACGAAUUUUAUUUCUCUUGGAGAGUGACCGAAAAUGGGUUUUCGGUGGAUAUAAAUAUGUAUUUAUGAGAGAGUAUGUAUAUAAAAUGUUAGCUAGCCAUAUGUGUCUGUCCACCUUAAUGGCGUAGCAUAUAGCCGCAUUAUGGUGUGACGUGAGCGUUGGACGUGAGCGUAGUAGCCCUAUUUGAGUGUUUAAUUCAUAUAGGGGGUAUGGACACAUAUUUAUACACCCGUCUGUCCACCUUAAUGGCGUAGUGUAGCACCGCAUUAAGGCGUGACGUGAGCGUUGGACGCGAGCGUAGUAGCCCUAUAUAGACCCAUGAAUUUAUAUAGGGAGUAUGGACGAGUGUAAAUACAUACAUAUAUUAUAGAGUCUGAGAGGCUCGAUAUUUUAUGAGAUAAAAGUUUUAUCGCUUGCGGCAUGCAUUCGAUUUUUCCUUAGAAAUUAAUUUGGGGAAACAUAAAUAUUUUAUUUUAUUAUUUUAUUUUUGUCCACUCACUUUAACGUUAUUAAAUGUUUUCCCCUGGGCCCUUCGUUUUAAAUUGCCCAGUCUGCAGAGUUCGGGUUGGAUCUAGUAGGAGGCGUGGCAUAGUCACCCACAUUUCCGCCAGUUUUCAUCAGUAGGUUACAUGUUUAACCUACUCGUGUUUUCUUACUUCCGUUAGUGUCUAGUAGCUCUGAAUACUUUGGGAUUAUUGUAUAUUACGUUUAGAAUUUCUGAAGGAUAAUUAUGUGAUGUUUGGACGUGUUGUAUUAAGAGUGUAAUUUGGAAUUUUCGAGUUAAGGUUGUCCAUUUUCAAGGGAGAUUUUCUCAAUCUUUUCAGUAAAUUUUCCUUGGAGGUGGUCCCCGCACGACUUACUCCGGGUUUCAGGGUGAAAUUCGGGGUGGGUCGUGUCAAUAAUAGUCAAUGACUCAAGCUUUGGCCAUUUCUUUGUAGACUUGUAAAUAGACCGGAUCUUAAUUCGGGGACCCGCUCCGGAUAAAUGGUUUUUAAACGGGUUUGAAUCGAAAAUUUGAUUCGUGGAUCCGUUAACCCGUUUACUGAACGGAUUGAAUACGGAUCGAGGUUGAUCCGAUCCGUUAAGAACCUGGAUCCGUUUUAAAAUAAUUAAAUAAUAUUUUUAUAAAUAUAAUAUUACUGAUAAAUAUUAAAUAAUAUAAUAUUUAUUUAGAUAACCUAAACGUCUAAAUUGCGUCUAAAGUAUGAUUUGAUAAAGUUGAAGAUUACUGAUGCCUAUAUUUUUUUUUAUGCAUUUUGCUAAAAACAUUGGAGGUUUAGUAUUUUGGUUAUAUUAUAGUUUAUUGUUAAGGAGUAUUUUGGCCAUGUAAUUUAACUUUUGAUGUAAACCUUUAUUUUGUUAUAAUAUUUCAUUAGUGUUUUAUGAAAACUUAUGAUAAAAUUAAGAUUAUAAAUGGAUCGGAUUAACGGGUCGGAUAUCCGUUAACCCGCCGGAUCCAGAUUUGGAUCGAGCUAUCAAUAUUCUGACGGGUAACGGGUCGGAUCCAGAUCUAGGUCGAUCCGCUCCAGAUCCGGCCCAUUUACAGAUCUAGUUCUUUGCAGCUUCUUCAGAAUCAUUAACUAGUAUAAAUUUGUCCUGCACUGAUAGAACAAGGAUCUUUUGAGAUUUGGGGUUCUGUAAAAGAGAGAACUAGUCAAUUUACGUUUCAUCAAAUAACCUCUAUAGAACAUUUUGGGAAGUAUGAACAUUGACCUUUUAGAAAUAAGAAACAAGUGCGGACUUGUUAUCCGAGAGUAGGCGUGGAAGAUCAAGCAAGAUAUAGAUCCACCACAUAAUCUGGAACCGCUAUUGACAAUAUUCAUAAUCAUCUGGCUAGACUGCUCGCAUUGUCGAUUGAAUCGAAGAUCUUGAUUUCCAGCUUACUCAAGUCAACUACCUCCCAGAGGCAGGGUUCGGAAGCUGCUUCCCGCCAAGAUUUGCAAACAAAUGCCCCACGUAUUAAUUCCACAACAUUAAAUGUCAUGAAUAUACGUAUGAGUAUAUCCUUAUCCAUGUCUGCCCAUCUUUCAAAUCCUGAGUUUUUGUUUGUCGUCAUACUAGAAAAGAAGUGGCUGAAACCAUCAAUCAGAAGAAGAUACUGUGUAUAAGUGUAAAGAAUCAAUGAUUAAACUCAACCAUUGUUAAAGGAAGAAAAUAUGUUGCUGAUAUAUUGCUGAUUCGUUGCUGACGUGAUUGAUAGAUAGAUAGUCACUAUUGUGAUUAUAGGAGUGAAUGUAGGAUCUGGUUUAUUUGUAUUUAUUCCUUACCUAGAAUAACUUCUGGAACUUGUAUAUUAUAGCAUAGCUUUGUACGAUUGAGACUAUCUAAUAUACACUCAUUCACAUAUCAAUUUGUUUAUGGUAUCAGAGCACCGAUUCUGGUGUCUCUAACCCACUACUUCCGCUACAAACAACCCACUACUUUUGCCACAAACAAACACAAACAUCAUGGCUGAGGUCAUUGAAACCCCAGAACCACAAAACACCGAACUCAUUCCUUCAUCUAAAGACAAAGAUGUGAAUGAUUUUGACACACCCAACCCUUUGACCUUACACCCAUCUGAUACCACUACCAGGACAAGUACUUUAGCCGACGAAAUAUUUUCGUCGGCCUGUUAUCCUAAUUCGUCGGCUAAGACCUUAGCCGACGAAGGCUCGUCGGCUAUAGUGUCGUCGGGAAAGGGUCGUCGGUGAUGGCUUUAGCCGACGAAUCUAAAGACCAUCGUCGGCUAUUGUUCCAGACUUUAGCCGACGAACUAUUUUUCGUCGGCUAUUGUUCCAGCCUUUAGCCGACGAACAGUAUAUUCGUCGGCUUUACUGACAAACUUUAGCCGACGAAUAUCUCUGUUUCGUCGGUUAAAGUAUAUAAUUAAAAUAUUUAAAAAUAACUAUAGCCGACGACAUAGAGUCUGUUUCGUCGGCUUUAGUGGUGUUUAGCCGACGAAACAUACCAUAAUUCCGUCGGCUAAACCCUUUGGAAAAAAAAAAUUACUAUAGCCGACGAAUUGUGGCAUGUUUCGUUCGGCUAUNNNNNNNNNNNNNNNNNNNNNNNNNNNNNNNNNNNNNNNNNNNNNNNNNNNNNNNNNNNNNNNNNNNNNNNNNNNNNNNNNNNNNNNNNNNNNNNNNNNNAGGUUUUUGACGAGGCAACAGAUCAGCACCAUCGGCAUAUCAGCGCGCGGCACAAGGGGGAGUGUUCUAGGAUAUCUCUACUGUGUGCCUUGGCCUUAUGCCAAUAGGAUAUGUAGUUAGACUAGAUCUAUGUAUUCAUAUCCUUACCAUAUUGGUAUUGUGUAAUUCCCUAUAUAAAGGGCUCCUAUCAAUGAAUAAGAUGACUCUCUUGCUAUCUCUUUGUCUCUACACUUUAUUCUUCAUCACGAUCGUUAUUAUUCUUAUAUAUGUAAGUGAGAAUUGAACAUAUGAACUCAAAUUUGUCAAUUAAACUACCUAACUAAACAGCACACGGCUCACUGACCGUAGACAACAACUCGGUGUGACAUUUAUAAUUCAACAAGAAAUUUUGACUAUUUAUCUAUGUAUGUUAGAUCAAAUAUAGGGAAUGAGGUACAUUUUUUCAUGUCACUGUGAUGCAUUCUUUUUAGCUUCUACAUGAUGUUACCUUUCUUCCAUGUAAAUUUAUCUUUCUCAGAUGUAAGUCAUAAAUAUCUCAUUUUGUGACGACUUUGUUGAACGCCUUUAUCUUUGAGUCAGUUUUUUCAACCCGUCACAAAUUAAAGUCUGAUAAAAUUAUAAAUCACCACUGACUACCUAUCCACAAUGGAGCUUGAAUUCCAUGAAUUGGUGGGGGAAGAAUAGUUACCUUAUGGGUUAUGCACAAACAACUCCACAGGAAUCGAUGUGAAAUGAAGGAAAAAUUUCAAUUGUACCAAGGAUUCAUGUCAUUCAUCUUUAGCUAGCUAGUCGCAUUUAGAUUUAGAGUAACCAAAACUGAGCAUGAUCCUCAGUUUGAGUUUUCCAAGCAGUGGUAAGGAUUCCUUUUUUAUGUAGCAUGUCUAGAGAAGCACUCUAGAAUUUGGAAGUAACAAACUAUCAACAGAUUGGUAUUAAACCAAUAGUUUGUUUCAAACUAUUAUACAAGUGAAGACUAGAGAUGAACAAAAAUGCAAGAUUGCAAGUAAAUUCUCUCACACUUGGUUAAGUAUUACAUUUUACAUGGUUUCUAGUGCUAGAUUACUGAUCAUUUUAACAAAGGGCACAGGACACUUGGAAACAAUAUCGAACCUAGACGGAAAUGAGGCAUGGCCAAACAGAGAUAAACUCAACAAGGCAAGCUCUCUAAGAGACAACCUUGAGGAGAGGAAUCCUUGCCAGUAAUAAGGAUCCAAGUCAAAGAAAGCAUCAAAAAACCUUCUACUUCCAUUAAGAUCAAGCUUCAACAAAGUUUCCAUCCCAAAAGAGUAAUAUUGCCUUACACAUCUCCUCUCAGUUGUCCACAAACCAUUCCACGCUCGUUCAUGAAGCGAUUUCCCUCGGAUCAUUCGAGUUGAACCAAGGCACUCUGCAAUGGCCUCAGCUAGUACCGGUGCUAGAGCCAUUGUCCGAGCCACCAUGUAACCAGUUGAAGGGUGGACAAUCCCAGAAGUCCCUCCAAUUGCCAUAACGCUUUGAGGUAUCCGAGGGAGCGGGCCUCCCAUUGGAACCACACACUUCUCAACCUCCAAUAUCCUCUUCACUCGAAUCCCCAAAUGCCUUAGCCUUGCCACCAUUCUUUUCUUGAUCUCCAUGUAAGAUAAAACCGGCCUACUAACCAGUGAAGUCUCUUCCAAAAAUACCAAGUUGGAAUCAAAUGGCAUUGCAUACAGAAAAGCAGGGAACCUAGAAUUACCAGUACGCAAGUAAGGUUCAUUCCCUAGAUGAGAAUCCCUCCAAUCCAUAAGAACCAUCUUAUCCAAGUCAAAGGGGUGACCUUCCACUUCAGCCAAAAUACCAUGAGCAAUCUGAUACCCAUGAUUCCUUGGCUUAUCAUACUCUAUGAAACUACUUGCAAAACCACUAGCAUCAACAACUAAGCUUGCCUUCAACUCAUUCCCAUCAUCACACACAAUCAAAGACUCAAACUCUUUGUGCUCAAUUUUCCAAACCUUGGCCUUGUGAAAUUUGACUCCAUUGGAGAGACACCUCUCCAUCAACAAUUUCUUGAGCUUCUUUCUACUGACCCGACCAUAAGGACGGUCUAAAUACUUGGUCUUAUUAUCAUCAAUAUGAACACAAGCCAUAGGCCAUGUUUUGUCUAAACAACUUUCAAGCUCCAAGCUCUCAAACUCAUCAACCCAUACACCAUAGUUAUUUGGCCACAUAGAAAGAGGUGAAGGAUCAACACAACAUACCUUGAUGCCAUACUGUGACACUUGCUCAGCUAAACGAAGACCAGCAGGCCCUGUGCCGAUGAUGAUCACAUCCACUCGAGACCGGCUACUCGGGUCCAACCGGGGCAGAUCAAAAUCCAACACUUCAGGUGUUGACUCUGGUUUCAAGUCCAGGAAAUUCCCAUACUUGCUGCUUUGGACUCUGGAAAAUCUCUUUCCUGUGUAAUGGGGUUUGGGGAAAGAGCAUGGAGGGCUGGAUGCAUGGAAGAGUUGACUGAUCUUGGUUGGUAGUAGCAGUGGUGGUGGUGGUGGAAACAAUCUGACGAGGGUGUCCAUCAUAGAGUGGGAUGAAGAUGACAGAGAAGAGGGACAGAGGUUAUAUAAUAGAAGAAGAAUGGGAGAUAGAGACAGAAUGGGAAUCUAAAGCAGUAGUAUGAAAGUGAUGCUUUUCUAAAACUUGGGUAGAGCAGCAUUUGUGUGGGGUAAACGUGCUGCAGGCCAUUUGUCGGGCAUUUAGACAUGCAUGAAACUCCACCCACAUGCGUUACUGAAACAAUUGAAGCCGCCUUGAUUUGGUAAUUGCCUAAUUGAAGCCGCCUCAUUUUCAGGUCUAGUUUGAUGUAUCCGGCGGGGGUAUUUGUUUGACUGGAAUCUAAACUACAAGAACAGAGAGCAUUUAUAUUGUCAAAAAAUAAAGAUGUGAUCAUCCUAUGAUCUUGAAGCAAAUAUUGUCCAAAUUCCUGAGACUCGAGCUGAUUAAGCGAGGGGAGAAUGUCAAUUUCACAUCAACUGAGUUCAUUCAAAUCAGGUGCUGCAUGAAUUGGGUUCCUCAUAAAGAUGAUGUGCAAUGUGUGAAAAGGAAGGUUUCCAAAACGGGUAAAAUAGAAGAGAAUAUGGGAUUGAUGAACUUGAAAACUUGAAUCAUCAAAUACAACUAGCGGUGUUUUAUGAUUUUCCAUUCGUAACAAGUGAAGUCAUUCAUCCAUGUCCCGGUGUUCAUAAAAUACCGAGAUGAUAUUAUAAUGCGACACUGGAAAAACAACGUCACAGACUUUUUGAGGAACCCGACAUUCCAAGUUAAGUUGCAAAGAAAAUAUUACAAGCUACAAAUAAAUUACUUUCAUAUACAACUAAAACAAAAAACAAAAAAAAGUGAACCCGUUAAGCACUGAUUUCCUUUUGAAUAUAGAAUGAUGGAGAUUGUCUUAACAGUUUUUGUUACAUACACAAAUACGGGAAUUAAUCAAGAUCUGCAGGACGGUAACGUGAUUCCUCCACAACAAGCAGCAAUGAUAAUGUACAGGAACACAACAAUCAAACAUGUCAACAGGGCCCUGUGCAAAUUAAACAAUUUUCAAUGUCCUGAAACAAUCAUAGAAUUACUUUCCAUCUAGAAACUUUUGUUUGACAAGCAGGAGAAUUCAGCAAGAAAAAACGCAUGGGUUAUAUUUAUUUCAUUUUCUAAUAAACAUAAUAUCAUCAGUAACAUAAAACAUGAUGACCACUACAAGAAAAGAAGGGCACCAUGAAACAGAAUAGAGAUCUGCAUUCGAAAAUAACAAUAGUCCACAGAUUUAUUCUCUUCAGAGGUUGAUAUCUUAGAUGAGUUCUUAGCACUAUUAGAAAAGCAUGAUCAAGUAUUCUUUCACAAAAGAUCUGAGAACGAACUGAUAUAUUCAAAACAAUGGCAACAAAUCAGUGAAUCUACUAGGUAAAUUUGAAAGAAGAAAAAGAAUGGGAAGCUUGCAAAUGACAAACAAGAAGAUUUACAGGUAUGAUUUGACUUCUCAAACUGCAACCCAUGUCAGGGAUGCUGGAAUUAGAGAGUGACUACAAUAGAGAUUGGCUGUUCUAGUGAGAGUUUUACUUUAGACUAAAAUACAAGAAAUGACAUUUCCUUCCAACUCUCCUUAAGUUGAAAAAGCCGCCAAUCUUUCCUACAGGUGUGAUAUAUUCAUUCCAUUUCUUUUGAAAUUAUUAAAAGCAAAGUAGAACAAUGAAAACAAAACAGAAGGUUUACUAAACUAGUAAACUCCAACUUCAAACAACCCUCUUCUCUCACCCCAUCUCUCGCAUCUCUUUCUGUGAAUCACUCAACCAUUUUGCUGUUGCUACUGCAAUGCUUCCCAUUCAAAUUCAUUUGGUUCCACUCAUCCUAUCUCUAGAGCAAGUCCUAACCUCAUUCAAAUUCCUAACACUCACUUGAUUAAAAAAGCAGGAUUCCGAUUUUGCUGGCUAUUCAUGAUUACACUAGUCACUUCCCAGCAUGCAUAUCUUAAGGAUAAUUACUUCUUUCUUCCCCACUAAAAAUUUCAGUCUUUUGGCAUCCGCAAUUUUUUAUUUUAACAAUGGAACAGUUUUAGCUUUUCUUUGUUCUUGUAGCCCAAGUUGGUUAGAAGAGAAGCACCCUCUAUGGAAGCUAGAGAUCAAAGCUAUUGGUACAAAAGAAUGCCCUUUUAGUUAUUGCAAGCUUGAACUAAGGCCCCUAGAAAGGGUCACUCGUUAGUUUCACUCUUUUGGUUUUUCUACAAGCGCAAAGGAGCUGUAAUUGAAACCUAUACAGGAGGCUAUGGGCAGCCAACCAAGGCAAAAAUUGGUAAUCAAGUAAAAGAGCUAUUGGAGGAAUGGUGCCUCAGUAUCUUCCUGUCUACCUUGUUCUCUUUUUCCUCCCACCAUUGUCUAUAUUCUCUAGCUUUGCUGAGACUACAGCAGCUAUAAUAAUACGUAUCCGUUUAGAUAGGAAUUUUAGCUUUUUCUAUACCACACAACCCCCCCCUCUAAAUCUGAAUCUGAAGAUGCACCCGCCAAGCUUCAGUUCACUACUGGCACUAGCUCCUCAUUGAGUGGCAUUGAUAAAAUACAAAUUUCAAAAUGCGAUAUACACCCAUUGAUGUGUGCCAUAUUCUUCUGAGACCUCGGUUAUUUGAUAAUAAAACUUAAGAAUUUUGGCUUCUGCCUAUAAAUUUUUGCCCCCACCUCCCAAAAAGCUCCAGAAGGGAACAGGUACAUUUCUCCUAAAACAGAUGGAGGCUGAUUAUGAUUCUAUCCUUGGCGCAGCUCUAUAAUUCACCUGGUCGAGUUCCGGUUGUAGGCCUAAAAGAAAGAAGACUAGAGAAAAUUUGGACUCACUUCAGUAAAGUUUUUUAAAAUUACACCAAACAAUUCCCAUGAAUCAGUUGACACACAUUGUUUUGAUAUAAACCACCUGCGAUCUCAUUACCGGGAUUAACAGCAGACAAUGAGAUUUGUGCAGAGCUACAGAUGCCAAAAAUAGUGCAAACAUUAUACAAUAUUGAUUAAUGACUUCUACGAAUGCCAAAAAUCUUGUUAUUUAUGACUGACAGAAGAUCCCUUGGAAAAAGUACAAGCUUGAUCCAACAAAAACAACAUGUGUCUUGAAAACUGUACAGAAAAUUCCAUACCAACUGAUUAACUGGUCUCUUUGGUUAUUUCUCUUCUAACACUUUUCACUUUUUUAAAGACUUGUCUUUCCAGGUCUCUAAAGCACAUAAUUUCAUAUUUAGUGUAUGACUUAAUCCUCCUAAGAUUAGAUUAGAUCUAUGGUAUAUUAGCAAAUAAAAAGUACUUACAAGAGUUUGGCAUUUUUCAUCCACAGAGCUUGACGAAGGCGCUUUGACUGUUUCUUGAAGUGAAAUGCACUGUCUUGCAUAGUUGCAGUUUUGUCAACAAGGAGUUCAAUUCGGUCGCCUCUCUCCAAAAUCUUUUCUAUGUUGUCGACCAUUAUAGUUCGUAUCUGGAUAUCAGAUAACUCAUUGUGAGAACAAACAGAGAUUUUCAAGAGCAAUCAACAACCAAACAUAAGGAAAUAAUAGAAAAACGCAGGCCAUAGCAGACCCAAAAAGUUAAUGAAAACAGUUUUGAAGUCCCUGUAUCAUGCAAAAAUCGUGUCCAACGAAACUAGCUCCUGAACUUAAAAACAAUAGCUACAUGAACUUUUCAAAUAUAAUUUCCAUCAUUUUCAUUAUUUGCAGCUUGCAGUGUAACUUUUUGCUUGUCAUUUCAAGUCUUUCAAUAAAACCUCAACAUGUCAUAUCAUCAAUUUCAUCUCUAGCUUACACUAUUAGUUAAGGAAACCAAUUAUUAGAGUGGGGGAACAAAUCUCCACAGUCAUAUAUCAACUUCGCCACUAGCUCAAACUAACACUUCCAAAAAACACAAAAUCUUUGGCCAAAUUUUUUACAAUAUUUCCAUCAUUUGUUCAUUGUCAACACAAACAUUUCCAAGACUCGUAACGGAAAAUCAAAGACGAGCACAAUAAUACUUGCCUCACCAACUUCGCCUCUCACACGGUUGAGAGUAUCAGCACUGGGAUUGCUGGAGAAAAACUCCAUUUGCUGGUGCAGCACUCUCGAAAACUCGUCGUUCAUCGCAUAAGCAGGAGCAUAAGGCGCAACUCUGCCGUAAUUCUUCAUGAAUCUCAUGUGCACAUCCUCCAAAUACGCAAACGGUAUCCUCCCUGCAUCAAAACAACCACAACUAAACCAAUCAAACACCAAAACACAGCGAAAUUCGAAAAACGACAUGAAUCGAAGCUAGAACUCACUGCCGAAAGUGUCGUUGGCCAUGCAGAGAAAGAUGAGGCCAUCCAAGGUGAGUAUGUGGAAGAUGUACCGAUCCUGGGAGAAGCAAACCCUGGAAUCGGCGUCCGGCGGGAGCUUCUCUAAGAUCCGGCGAGCCACGGCGCCUGUGUUUCCGGUGACGGCGCUAAACUCGGCCAGCACGACGGUGCCACGAGCGACGACGGCGUAGAGUAUCGCCAUGUCCGUCCCCGAUUAGGGCCCUGCGCGCUCUCUACUCCGAUCUCGAUCGAAUCCAAGUCUCACGGGCCAGUUUUGAACCUGAUUGACUCAGUCUAUUUAUAUAUUUUUUUAAAUUUUUUUUCCUUCAAAAUUGUAAUAUUACAACAAAGAAGUGAUAAUUCGAAUUUAAAGUUUGAAGUUUGAAAGUAAGCGCAACGUGAGCAAGUUUGUUGUUACCGGUGAGUCCACGACUUGUUUCGUUCGGGUGUAUGAUAAUUAAAGAUUAAAAUAUCUGUAAUAUAUCCGAUAUUUUUUUUUUUUAAGGUACCGAUAUAUCUAUAAGGGAUCAAUAUCUUAUCUUUCAUCGUAUCUAUGAUAUUUUCCCGAUAUUUCUCUGAUAUCGUCUCUGAUAUUUAGGAAAUAUCUCUGAUAUUUAUGAUAUUUCUGAUAUAUUAAAAAAUAUUUGUAAAAAAAAACUGAAAUGAUAUUCGGAAGAGAAGUAAUUCUCUCAAGGUAUAUCUCAAUGAAGAGUGUGGGUCUCGAGUGAUAUUUAGGAUAGAAGUAAUUUCCUCGAGGUAUAUCUCAAUGAAGAGUGUGGGUCUCGAGUAAUUCCCUCAAGGUAUAUCCCAAUGAAGAGUGAGGGUCUUGACUCUUGAGUGAUUUCCGGAAGAGAAAUUCCCUCGAGGUAUAUCUAGAAUAAAAGUAAUUCCUUCAAGGUAUAUCUCAAUAAAGAGUGUGGGUCUGGAGUGAUAUCUAGGAUAGAAGUAAUUUCCUCGAGGUAUAUCCCAAUGAAGCGUGAGGGUCUUGAGUGAUUUCCAGAAGAGAAGUAAUUCUCUCGAGGUGUAUCCUAAUGAAGAGUGGUGGUCUCGAGAAGAUGAUGAUGAAGACGGUGGAAGCGGAAAAAGUGGUGGAAAUACCGGGUUUGUAUAUGGACAAUCUUCUACAGUUAGUGGAUUGAACAAUUUUUCAUCUGAAGAAAAUUAUAAUCAUGCCUCCCAUGAUCAUGGCUAUUGAAGUACUAGGUAUGGCCGUAUGGAGCGCAAGAGGAUACUAUGUAUGGGAGGAGGACUAAAGGUUCGAAUGAUGAUCAAGAUGUUGCUUCAGUUGUGCUAAGUUUUGAGUCUAUCAGUUUAGGUAGUGGGAUUGGAACCUCAAAUGAAUCCCAAGAAGGCAAUAAUCAAUAUGGCUAUAAUGUUUACGGCUAUAAUCAAUGUACGGAAGUCAGUGAUCAGUCAUCUAGUUGGAUUCAUCCUUACUAUCUAUUUAUAGGGGAAACAGUCGGUUGCUCCAAAGACAUAUAUGAUUAUCAUAUUCAACACUACAAUUCGUACUAUUUGAGUCAUAUGUCUUUGUCUGAUUAUUAUACUUUUAUGGAUCAGCGUGCGUUUUAUCAACAACCUAGAUUCUCAUUUUGGAUGUAGAUGAAGUUGACGUUUGUAAUAUUUAUAUGUAAAUCCAAUAAAUUAAAUAUUUCAGAAAAAAAAAAUUCUUCCCAAAAUCCUGAUAUUUUUUCCUGGAUUUCCCCGAUAUAUCCAAUAUCUGUUUUUUUUUCUUCAAAUGACCAAUAGAUACACCGAUACCGAUAUUUUAAUCCUUGAUGAUAACAAAGUUACGAUGUUCACAAUUAGGAGCUUAUGGUUUACGAUUCCGGUGAGUCCAAGACUUUCAGAAUUUUGUGUAGUGUGUUUCGGGCAACAAUCUUCAUUUAUAUGGCUUGUAGAUAUAAGAUAUUAUGUGGAUGGUCUAAGAUCAGAUGACGUUAAGACAUAUGUAUGGUGAUCUUCACAUAUAAGAUAAGAUUACACUAUAUGUGCACAUUAUGUAUUAAUAAUUAUAAAAUAGAGCUGAAAUUUGCACUCUUUAAUUUACAAACCACACUCCCUGUAAGUUAUUUUUACCAAAUGACCCCUAAAAUUUUGCAAAAUCACAUCUCUACUAAUCCCCACCUUUUCUCUUUAACUGAAAAUGAACCUCUAUCUGGGUUGAAAUACUAUCAUCACCAACAGUUUUCUUAACUCAUCAUAUAUAUAUAUGAUGUUGGUUUGCAUUUCUCUUCUUGAGUAUAGUGUCUUAUCGAUUAAGAAAGAAUUCAUAACAAGAUUGUGUUCCUUUGAUUGAUUCUCUAUGAUGAUGAAGUUAAUUAAGAAAUAUAAAAGAUUGCAACGCAAACCCUUUGCCCAGUUUGCAUUGUUAUGGACUAGGUACUUCUUUCAACAAGAAAUCAAAAGCUUACGUUUUUAGAUAAGAGUACACAUUCAUGUAAUCUCAAUUAAACCAAUCCCUUCAUCAUUGCUAAAGCCAUUCUGAUUUAAAUGCAAAUAGGAGGACAAAAAACCAAUUACAGAGUGCAUCAACCUUUACCAUGAGCUCCCUCGCCAUGAACCCUAUUAAAUUGAGUCUUAACAAUUAAAUCAAAAGAUCCUUAGAUAUUAAAACAACUCUCAAGCAAAGUAAGAACCAUAAAGAAAUAAGCAACAAGAGUUUGAGGAGAGAGAAGACGACGAGGUAUGCACUGUGUAAGUGAUUGAGGGUAUUUUUGGCAAAUGGAAAGACAACUUAAAGAAAAUAUAAUAAAAUAAGAGUUGUGAAAUCCACACACCCUAAAUUGAAAUCCACACACCCUUUUUCUUUUUUUGGUAAUUUAAAUUUUAUCUUUUAGUGACUUAAACUUUGUCUUUUUGUGAAUGUGUUAACCAAAAAAGGAAAAAGGGUGUGUGGAUUUCAAUUUGGGGUGUGUGGAUUUCACAUCCCUAAAAUAAUCAAAAUGAGUGUGGUCUGUAUUUAGGGAAUGUAAAUUUCAGCUCCCUUAGAAAAUCACUUCAACCCCUCUUGUUUUGGAAAUAGAUGCAUUGAUAGUUGUUCAAGAGAUAAAUAACUUAGGACCAAACUGGUCUAUUGAAUAUGCAUUAGGGUGAGUUUGUUUCCGCUUUUAGGCUGCUUUACUUUGUAGUAAAGUUGCAUAAAGUGUUUGGUAACUUUGAAAAUGUCCUGCUUUGCUUUGAAGCAUUGGCCUUUUCAAGCCAAAAGCCAAAGCAACUCCUACCUUGAGUUUGGAAGCAGAAGCAGCGCGCUACUGUAGCGAUGAAUUAAUGAAUCUUUUAAAAUACCAAUGGGUACCCCUCAUGGCUCACAUGAAUUACGACCCAAUAUCAUUUGUGAAAACGCUGCUGCUACUUCAUUUGCGUCUUCUCUUUCAGUUCUUCAACUCUGCCACUCUCCUUCACAAUUCACAAACGUCAAUCACAACCUUGGGAUAAAAGAGAAGAAGGAGAUCGUUUGAUUUUCUGGUGAUUUCUCUUCUUCCCCUUUUCGCACCUGAUAUAUGAAGUCAGGAAAUUGUUUACUUGAUUUCCAUGGUAGUUCCACACUUCCACCGCUGAAUGGUUGUACUUGGAUAGAAGGUAGAACUCAUUCUUGUUUAUUGUUUAUUUGUAUUACAAAUUCAGUUGAUGAGUAAUUGGUAGGUUUAAAGAGAUUUUGAGUAAUUUUUAUUUAAGGUAAAUUCUUAUAUUGAUUGUAGUUGAAUAUUUGUUUGAUUGUUGUGGUUUGAAGAAAUUGAUAGGUAUGUAGUUUUGGGUUUUUUGAUCAUUGUACCUUUGCUCUGAUCAAUGUGAAAAAUGUGAUCGUUACAACAAUCACAUAAAAAAAGUUUACACUUUCUUUAUUGAGCCUAACCUUCAUAAUUAGGAAUUGUAGAUUUAUGUAAAAGCUAGGUAAGAUUACAACCAAGUCUUGAUAAAGUCCACAACACAGUGAUGGAAACCAUCUUUGUUGCAGUUUUUAUGUGGUUUUGUAAUUCAUCUUUGUUGUUCCUAUUGUUAAAUUUUGAUUGUUUUGCAAUUGAUCUUUGUUGGAUGUACUGAUUAGGCAUCUCAAUUUCUUUGAUAUCAAGAGGAGUUAGAAACAAUUGGAUCAUACCUUUUGGACUGGGCAUCCUGAGAUUAUUUGUAAUUGACAAAAAAUUUUAUGCAGGGUCACAAUUUUACAGUUGAAGCUGAUGGGUACUAUGUGGAGCCAUUUGUGAUCAAAAACAUAUUCUUUUACUCUGGUGAGACAUACUCAGCUUGAAACAUGAAGUAGUAAUUGUUAGUGGUAAAAUCAAAGGACAUGCUAAAUGUGCUAGUGCUUUAUAUAAUUGGAGCAUUCAUUCCAGCAACACAGAGAUCACAGUGUAACUUCUCAACUGGCUCAACAAAAAGAAUUUAAUUUGAGAAAACCACCUUCUUUUCCAUUGUAAUCUACUUCCUUUAGAGUGCAUGGUACGCAAAUGUCUUUCUUAAUAUUCGUGUUUGCUAGAACUUAUGUGGAUGCAAAACAAAUUGCACUUCUUAUCCAUUUGGUCUGAGAUAUUUUUGCUACAUGACAGGUCAUGAUAUGUGGUCUGAUAGGAAUACAGAGAUUAUAACUUAACUGGUCUUGUGUUGUAAUCAAAGAUAAUAAGUUCAAUACCAUCUCAAUUUCUUUUCAACCACGACACUCUAAAAUAAUUUUCUAAGUGUUCAGAAUACGGAGAUGCACGUAUCGAUACAUUUCAACUCAGUUGGAACAUGUCAGAUGGUCAAGGAACUAGAGAGGUUAAGAAAGAGGCUCAAGGUGAAGUGAAGUUAAGUUAUUGUUUUUUGUUGUUGAUGUAACUUAUAGCCAAUGUAUGGCUAGUUGUACAAGUUUGGAGGCUUUGUAAUCAGAUGAUGUCUUGUGUAAUCUAUAUAUGUUGCCUAUUAAUUUGAUCCCAUAGUUAUGAACUUGUGAUUAUUCUAUUUGGUUCCUAGUUAUCACUUAAUCAAUUCUCUUAACCUUUCAUCUUAUCGUUGUGAACCUGGGAAAAGUGUGAGGUCACAUACAUAUUAGAAAAUUACGGUAUACACAAGAAAGAGUAAAAUAACUGGAGAAAUUACGAGUACUUGAGAAAUGCUACUUAUAUGGAUUGAAUUCCAUAGGCCAUGACUGAGAAGUAAAUAAAGAGAAAAGAUUUCUCAUGUCCAAAUGGGUCAUUGCACAUUCUCAAAACACUUUUAGUUUUUACUUACCAAACACUUUACCACUACUUGUAACACUUGCAACACUUAUGAAAAGCCAGUUUACCAAACACGCAGUUAUUUUGCUUUCCAGCUACUUAUUCUUAGAAUAAGUAAAAGUCAGCUGUUUUUGGAAGCCACAACUGUACCAAACACACCCUUAGUAGAAGAGAUGAAAUCUUUAUUAAACUUAUUCUCUUUCAAAGUUUUUUAAUUUGUGUGGAAGUGUUUUCAGCUGUAAUCAUCUAGUGUGGUGUGUUUUUAUUGCAAAUAAGUGUUUGUACUUGUAAUUAUGAAUACCUAACCCGAGAAUGAGGCUCUGGGUUUUGUAUUUGUAGUUAUGUUGAAAUAAAUAAAUUCUAUCUUGUACCCAUUAUUUGGUCACAAAAAAAUUUAAUAAAUAUAUGCAUAUUUGAGUCUGCUUUGUGUUUCUAUUUUACAAAUACUUUGCUUUUAAGAAUUAAGAAUUUUCCAUACUAAAACAACAGUGAUUCCGUCAUAUUAAGUAACUAUUUAGACAAUAAGUCGUUAGGUGAAAUAGUGGCAUGUUGAAGGCUAAUUCUUAUGGUGGUGAGUCUUAGUCUUAUUAAAUAAAGUAAUAAGAAAACUUAAAAAGAAAUAUCUACCCUUUUUUGUUUACUACACUAUAACGGAAUAGUUGCCAAAUUUAACGGAAGUAUGUCAUUGAUAGCAAAGUAGGAGUUUAGGUACUACAUUGACAGCUUUGUAAGUCUGGGUAUCAAACUGACUGAGACACAAGAGUUGAGACACUGUUGGUGAAGUUUUCUUUUUGUACAUAUAUAGCCCUAGGAAAUGUAAUCAGAUAUUGCACAGUUAAAUCAGAAUGGCUAACCGAUAUGCUUAAACAGUGAUGCAAACUUAUCUACUACUUUAUAUAUGCAAUUAGUUCUUCUAAUAUAAAUCACUUAGGGUACCAUUUAUAUAUGUAAAUUAAGAAUUGAAAUUUGUUUAGUCCUUAUGGUUUGAAGUCGACAUCUGUUUAGUCUUUCUAGUUUUAUUUUAAUCUGAAUAGUCCUUAAAGUCACAAUUUUUCAUUUAAAUAGUCCUUAUGGUUUUAUUUUAAUAUGAAUAGUCCUUAAAGUCAUGAUUUUUCAUCCAAAAGCCUUUCCGACAAUUUUCUCAGUUAAAGGCCAUAAGGACUAUUUGGAUGAAAAAUCAUGACUUUAAGAACUAUUUAGAUUAAAAUAAAAUUAUAAAGACUAUUUAGAUGAAAUAUAGUAACUUUAAGGACUAUUCAGAUUAAAAUAAUACCAUAAGGACUAAACAGAUGUCGACUUUAAACCACAACGACUAUACAAUAUUUUACCCUUAAAUUAAUAAAACAUAUUUUAACACUGGUUUAGUAGAUAGUAAUCAGAAGACUAGGAACUCGAAUAUGAUUAUGACGGUGAAGUUAGAAGCCCUAGCGUUUGUCCCUCGUUGUGUUCAAAACCCUUUUCAACAUUCUAUCAAUCAUCUAGUUUGUUUUACUCUUUUCUCAUUGUUUACAAAAAUCACAAAAAAAUCUUCUUAUUUUCUUGUUAGUCAUUAGCAUAUUUUGGUCAAUUAGUUAGAGUUGAAAGUUAGUUAUCCAUCCCUAGUUGGAACGACCUCGUAUUUGCAUAAGCUAUACUACAAACGAUUCGUGCACUUGCAAAGUUAUUAAAAUUUGACAACAUAACCGAUUUCAACAAUCCAAGAAUCCGACCUGUUUGCAACUUUUCAUAGACUCCAUAUAUAUUUCUAAUUUUAAUGAGACAAAGGCUUGCAAGUAAUCUGUUCCACUACAACAAUGUGGAGCAAAGGUCACACACCUGGUGUGGCCUUUGGGGGUGUUGUAUUUUUUGUUAAGUGUGGCAAAUGAGGGUAUUAAUGUAGGUAUUGGUGAGGUAUGAGGGAAAAUGCCACACAUGAUGAUUUGCAACACCUCUAAAGACCACACAUCUUGUGUGGCCUUUGCUCCAUCUUGUUGUAGUGUCCCAAGGAAACAUGCAAAACCAAUUACCAAGCAAAGCCAGGUUGCUUUGCAAUACCUAAUAUGGUUCACAGCUUCACAUAAGCCGUACACUUCUGCAAGCACAUGACAGGUACAACACAUGAUAUAAUCUUGAAACCUUAACAAGACCCUAUUACGAAUUUAUUUAUGGAAUUACAAAAAGUAAUCUUCUUAGUUUACUUAAACUUCUACUGUCAAGAUCAGUAAGUUAUCGGUGAUAAGCUCGAAAUAUACGCAACAUGCCUCACAUUAUACCUUAUUGAUUAGUUCAAAGACACAUCACUUAUUUUGCAAAGCUUGUUCUUUAGCAAAAAUAGGAUCGAGACCUUCCUAUGCUAAAGAUAACCAAAAUAUUUCAAAGAAUACAAUGUGAUUAUUGUGGACUUAUCCAUCCAGAAAUGACGGACCAUUAAAGUACUUUAUGGUUUUAGAGGAUGUUUCGAUACGCUAGUCACAUGUCGAAUAAUUAUCCACAAGAAAUGCUGCAUUUGAAAACUCUUAGCACAUCUUAUACAUCUAAGGGUUCACCACCCUAAUCACCAAGUCUAUAGGACUUGACAAUGCUAAGAGUUCACAUCAAAAGUAUUUGAUGAUUAUUGCUUGUUUAUCAGAAUCGAUGUAAAGCAUCUUGUACCCCAUUUGCAUACACAAAAUGGUCUAGCAGAAGCCACCAUCGAUGGUGGCUAGAGCACUGGUUACGCAAACAAACCUGCCUAUAUCUGUUUGGGGUUACGCAAUAUUGCACACAUACUUACUUAUUCAUUUUUAGACUCACUACUAGUCAACCAAUUAAUGUGUACCAGUUGGUAACUGGACAUGAGCCUGAGAUUUACACAUAUUUGGUUGCACAACAUAUGUGUCUAUUGUGCCCCCACAAUGUAUCAAAAAUGGGUCCUUAGAAACGAAUAUGUAUUUAUGUUGGAUACGAACCUCCAAUAAUUACAACCGAUCUCACAACUCGAUUUGCAGAUUGUCACUUUUAUAAGACAAUAUUAUCGUCGGUAGGGGGAGAUAAGAAAAAGAAUAAUCUAUGGGAACGACAUGAAUUUUCGUGUUUGUCCCACUCUGUUUCAUCCUGAUCCCCACAUAAUCAAUAUUUAGAACGUAACAGUUUCGAUGCCUGAUGCGUUUAAAGAUAUUGCUCAAGUGACGAGAUCACACAUACCAACUGCAAAUGCCUGCAAGGUCAAAAGUCCCCAAUAAGGUGCACGUCACCGCAAAUAGAGGCGAUGUAACUACACUUAGUGGAGGUGUAGUUGAGGUCGUGGCUCCCUAAAGGAAGAGGGGGAGGGCACUUACUCGCCCAAAGGAAAAAGGUGGGUAAGGCACAACCUAAUAAUCAUCAAUGUAGUGAAUCUCUGUCAUAAGAUUGUCUCUGAUUACAAUUAUGUUCAUGAAUCAAUACUGGAGGACACUCCGAUGUUUAAAUGAUUCGUGAGACAAAAUCUCAAUGAAUUACAAGAGUAUACACAUUGAUGAUAUAUUCGCACUGUUGCUCAAGAAACUAUAGAGCACGAUGAUAUUGAACCAGGUUAUGUUGAAGAAUGUCAACAAAGAGCAUAUUGACCUAAAUAAAAGUGCAAUAUCCAAGAAGAGCUAUUCUCUGACAAAGAGACAGAUAUUUGGUUUUUGGUAGUGCUAACCUUAUCAAGUGUAAUGCCCGUAGGACAUAAAUAAGUCUUUGUCAAAAAAUGUAAUGAGAAGAAUGAAGCCUUGAAGAACAAAGCUCGCCAAGUGGCGCUAAGGUUUCUCGCAACGCUUUAGAUUGACUACGAGGAGACAUAAUCUCUCAUAAUGAAUGCAACUCAUCGAUGUGGUUACUAGUUAUCUCCAUGGGGAUCUUAAUUGAGAGAUAUUUAUUAAAGGGCCUAAUGGCCUUACACUAUCCAACUCAAGUAACUUUAAACCACGGAGUGCGUUUGCAAUUAGAAUUGAAACACUCACUAUAUUAAAAGUGACUACUUUGUUGGGAAGGGAUAUAAAUGAUGAACUAUGGCCUCAUAAAGGAAACAGGUUCGGAUUUGCAAUUAUAGUCAUCUAUAUGUUGAUGCUAUGAAUAUAGUAGGUAUUCUUGAUGAAAUAAAAGAAACCGCGAGCUACAUAAAAUCCGAAUUGAAAUGAAUAAUCUUGGGAAACUCAAUUAACAAUGAGUUUAUGUCAGUACCCACCCUGAAUUUCACCCUGAAAUCCGAAGUAAAUCCUGCGGGGUCCAUCUAUCUUCAAGGAAAAUUUACUAAAAAUUCAGCAUAAUCUAUCUUGAAAAUGAACAACCCUUACCUGAAAAAUUCCAAAUAAACAAUUCUAUUAAAAAUCAUCCAUCCUCAACUCCUGGUGCCUUCAUGCUCCCCAAGUUCAUCACAUCUCCCAAUAUAUCAAUUAAUCAUCUAAAAGCAUCCCACAACCAACAACAAAGACAUUUAAUAAUUUACUACUGGUCUUUCAGAGCAUAUCUAAAGAUGAAUGAAAAACAAUGAAAACGAAUAAGCGAAAGCAGCCCCUGACUGUGCCUCGACUCCAUGUACGCUCGACCUCAUUUAAACUUAUCCUGCAUACUGGGCAUUUAAAACCAAAAGGCCCAGGGGAAAGUAAUUUAAAAACGUUAGAGUGAGUGGACAAAAAUAAAUUAAACAAUUUAACAAAAUACGUAAUUUAAAUACUUUCCCACAUUUCAGUUUUAAAAACUUAGCUGCACGCAACUUUCGUAAAUCAUAUAACUUAAAUUCCAGAAACCCAAUAGAAUGGACAAACCAAUCCCGCUGGUUAAUCAAAUAAAGAAAUCUCGUAAGAAGAGAUAAACCAACCCCGCUGGUUAAUCAAAUACAUAACAGAGAAAAAUAAAAUAACAGGAAAAGUUAUCACCAUGUAAGAGGAGCCUCCAAGGCUCGGGUCGGUGCCUCCCAGACCAUAGUAGCGUCCCACGCUAAGUGCUAAACUCACCUAUGGUGAGGACAGCUAAUAAGGCUAGCUAACAAUAAAUAAAAAUAUCUGAUCGGUGCCUCCCAGGCUAUAGUAGUGUCCCAUGCUAAGCGCUCGACUCACCUAUGGUGAAGACCGCUAAUAAAGCUAGCUAGUAAUGAAAUAUAAGCGACCCUAUAUUUUGGUGACUAAAAACAUACGACAUCACUUAAAUCCAUUAAACUUCCCCAAGAUCAUAUGAAUGGUACGGUUACGGUUCCCAACCGUACUUGAAAAUCAUCAUAAGAAAUUAUAUUAAAACUCAAUGACGUGUCUCACACGUCAAAAUAUUCUCAAAGCCAUAAUAUAAGCGAGGUUUAAUUAACAAGUAAAAAUCGUAAUUAAUAUCUCAAACCAAAAUACUCGCUAAAAUAUUCUCAAGGUCAAGAUCGAUAUUCCACAAAUAAAUGCGAAAAUUAUAAAUAGCGAACUACCGAUAAUCCCAUUUUCGGAAAUCUUUUAUAUAAAUCUCAAGUCCACAACUAAAGCAAUCAUAAUGAAAUCCAGAAUUUAUAAAGAAUAUCCAAACUCAAAUACCAAAUUAGUAAUCCGAGCUCAAAUUCAUAAAUCAUGACCCAUAAUUAAUCAAUGCUUCAAACUUAAAUACUUUCCAAGAUCAUUUCGUAAGCCGAAAUUAUAAUAUAAGUUCGGAAAAUAAAAUAAUAAAUUAUAAAAUCUUGCAUGCAUAUUUAUUUAAAACCAAAAUGUCCACUCACAAAUUUAAGCAUAAGCCCGACGAUAUCCACAUCACCACUCAAGCGAGGUUCCCUUCGUAUCCUGGCACAAUAAAUAUGCUUAGGACCAAACUUCAAUUCCGGAAAAUAAAUACUUGAAUAUAAACACCCAAAUCUCUUCCGCUUAACCCACUACUCUUACUAGGGUUAAGCUUACCGGAUUCACACCAAACUCCACCACAACCUUAAUUCAUCAAUUCUAACAUUCUAGAAUAAAUACCAAGGAAAUCCAACGGCCAGAUUUUCACUAUAACAACCGCCAAAAUUCUCAAUUUUUGAAAAAUCCCAAACCUAACCAAAACUCCUCCAAAAAUUCCAAACAUUACAUCAUUAAACUCCUCUCAUUAAAACAAACUCAAAAACAUGAAAAACUACCCCUAAGCGGCAGCGGCGCCGUCUGUUCCGCGGGCAGCGGCGGCUGGCCAGCCCAAUUUCAGGCGACCUCCAAUGGCUACCAAAUUUUGACACAAUUUUCCUCUCAACAUUCCAAACAACUUUCAUAACUACCACAAAGUCCAAUUUCAAGCCUAACUAGGGUAAUCGAAGACAAACAUAAAAAAAAAUCUCAAUUUCAAACCUUAGAAUUUCAAACCUUUGAUUCUCCUUACCUAGCUCGAGUUAGGUCGAAUCCUUUUAGGGGUUUGCUGCUGGAAGGGAGAGCUUCAAGACGAGACCGGUAGCUCUGAUUUUUUUGGCCGGAAAAAGGAGUUCCGGCGAGAACACCUCCGCGGCACAGCCGUGACUUCCAGGCGAUCAUGCUCCUUCACGGUGGCGCAACAUGGGCUUCCACCUACCUAGACUUGUUGUCACAUCCCGACCCUUAUAUUUUUACCUUAUUUACUAGCGUGAUUAUAAUAUGAAUUUUACCGUCUCCGUCUUUGAGUUAAUAGUUUAAGUGGUCCCUAGAGGGGUUCGGGGACGAUUAUGUGCGGAGGAUUAUUCGUAUGAGGAAAAAUACGACGACGGUAAAAAUGGUAAAUUUAGCUAGUAAAAGGUAAUUUUUAUUCGGGUAUUAUUUUUCGGGGUGUUUUUAUUUUUGAGUUGGGUUGAUAAGGGUGGACCGGUUGGGAGGCCCAACCCAUUUCUUUUUUUUCUCUUCUUCUCUCUUUUCUCUUCCUCCUCUCUCCCGUGCCCUUUCCCCCCUGCCGGAUCGUCCAGCCGCCGUCCGGCCAGCCACCGGCCGCCGCUCCACCCCAGUUCGGACCCCCAUCUCCUCCUCUCCCACCCCGGCCUAGCCCCCGAGCCUCUAACCCGCCGGAAACACCGGGAAGCAUUUCGCCGGAACUCCCUCCUCCGGCCACCAAUCCGGGCAAGCUUGGUAUGGUUUUGUAGCCCUCCAACCCAGCAGUCUUGCCCUAAAAGGACUCACUCCCUCUUGAGCUAGGUAAGGAGAAAUUUGAGGUGGAAGUUUUAUGGUGUUUUUGAUGUUUUUAGUCGAUUGCCCUAGUUAGGCUUGGAAUUGGUGUUUGUGCUAGUUAUGAAAGUUGUAGAGCUUGAUGAGAGGAUUAUUCUGUCAAAAUUUCAUAGGUUUUGGAGGUCGCCGGAAUUGACUUCCGGCCGCCGCUGCCGGCGGAGCCACCGGCGGCGCCGCCGCCGGUUAGGAGAUUUUUAGGGUUUUAAGUGUGGAAUAUUAAGAGGAGUAUAUUGAUGUGAUUUAUGGAAUUUUUGGAUGAGAUUUGGAUAGGUUUGUGAAUUUCCGAAGUUUGGUAUUUUUGGCGGUUAAUUAAUGUAGAAUCCGGCCGUAGGAUUUAAGUCGUAUUUUGGAGAGGUUGUAUUUACGACUGUUGAGUAUGAUAUUUAAGUUCGGAUUGUUCCGAUUUAAGAAUAUCGAAGUUAGGCAAUGAUGAGCGUAUUUAUGGUUCUCGGGUAAUUUUGCCUAUUUUGAUUAAAUAUUGGAUUAUUGGUUGGGAAAUUAAUAUUAUAUUUGGAACAGGACGUGAGGAGGCUCGAGCAGACGAGGCCCCAGAUCGACAUCAGGCUUAGGCCAAAUUUGUGAGUGGACGUUUAUUUUAAAUAAAUGCAUGCUAUAGUUCAUGGUUGAACAAUUAAAUGUCGUGGAGUAUUNNNNNNNNNNNNNNNNNNNNAGUUUUCAUCAGUAGGUUACCUGUUCAACCUACUCGUGUUUUCUUACUUCCGCUUGUGUUUAGUAGCUCUGAAUACCUUGGGAUUAUUGUAUAUUACGUGUAGAAUUUCGGAAGGAUAAUUAUGUGAUGUUUGGAAGUGUUGAUUUAAGAGUGUAAUUUGGAAUUUUCGAGUUAGGGUUGUCCAUCUGCAAGGGAGAUUUUCUUAAUCUUUUCAGUAAAUUUUCCUUGGAGGUGGUCCCCGCACGACUUACUCCGGGUUUCCUUGGAGGUGGUCCCCGCACGACUUACUCCGGGUUUCAGUGUGAAAUUCAGGGUGGGUCGUGUCACUUGUAGAGGAUGCUCCAAGCUUCAAUUUGAUACCAAGCUUGCCGCCUAUCUUGGCCGGAUGGCGGCGGACGGGGGCGUUGAAGUCCGGCGGUCGAAACUGGCGCGGGAGAGGAGAGAGAGAGAGAGAAAGUAACUUUCUGAUUUCUACCUUACCUCUUCUGGUAAGUUUCCCUUUUUAUACUCCCAACUGAAAUAAUAACUAUUGUUUUUAGACCAUAACUUCUUCAUACGAACUCCGUUUUAAGCGUACCACGUGUCCACGAACUCUGUUUAACGUCCUAUACGACUUUCAUGAAGAAAGUUUUCCCAAAUUUUAGACGAAGGAAAAGUCAACUUUUGAAGCCUUAAAUAGUAAAUGGUUACUCAAAACAGUAAAAGGUCAAAGUAACCUAAAAAUCAAUAACCGCAAAUUAAUUGAAGAACCGGGAUGUGACAGUUUAUGGAAUACUAAUCCACCAGUUUACAUGUGUCUAAAUGAUUCUCAAGCAUUUACAUGGACAAAAUGUACACUGUUAGCACUCCCAAUGAUCAGUCGAUGUUUGGAUGUAAAGAA
RNAcentral lists this long non-coding RNA (25455 nucleotides) under Fragaria vesca (wild strawberry). RNAcentral describes it as "long non-coding RNA (FVES_LNC000958)". The record is from RNAcentral. Lineage: Eukaryota; Viridiplantae; Streptophyta; Magnoliopsida; Rosales; Rosaceae.